GUAACAAGGUUUCCGUAGGUGAACCUGCGGAAGGAUCAUUACCUAGAGUUGUAGGCUUUGCCUGCUAUCUCUUACCCAUGUCUUUUGAGCACCUUACGUUUCCUCGGCGGGUCCGCCCGCCGAUUGGACAAUUUAAACCAUUUGCAGUUGCAAUCAGCGUCUGAAAAAAACUUAAUAGUUACAACUUUCAACAACGGAUCUCUUGGUUCUGGCAUCGAUGAAGAACGCAGCGAAAUGCGAUAAGUAGUGUGAAUUGCAGAAUUCAGUGAAUCAUCGAAUCUUUGAACGCACAUUGCGCCCCUUGGUAUUCCAUGGGGCAUGCCUGUUCGAGCGUCAUUUGUACCUUCAAGCUCUGCUUGGUGUUGGGUGUUUGUCUCGCCUCUGCGUGUAGACUCGCCUCAAAGCAAUUGGCAGCCGGCGUGUUGAUUUCGGAGCGCAGUACAUCUCGCGCUCUGCACUCAUAACGACGACGUCCAAAAGUACAUUUUUUACACUCUUGACCUCGGAUCAGGUAGGGAUACCCGCUGAACUUAAGCAUAUCAAUAA
RNAcentral lists this unclassified non-coding RNA (546 nucleotides) under Nothophoma variabilis. Its description in RNAcentral is "sequence contains ITS1, 5.8S rRNA gene, ITS2". The stretch from base 183 to 336 matches the Rfam family "5.8S ribosomal RNA". Lineage: Eukaryota; Fungi; Ascomycota; Dothideomycetes; Pleosporales; Didymellaceae. The record is from RNAcentral.